Molecule: long non-coding RNA, 2307 nt
Organism: Anas platyrhynchos (mallard)
Lineage: Eukaryota; Metazoa; Chordata; Aves; Anseriformes; Anatidae
Source: RefSeq, a predicted model, not a curated record
UUCUGUAACAAACAACCCAGUUUUGUCAGCUUGUUUUUCUUGACCACCUUUCCAAGAAAUCUUUAUUUUCAUUCAUUUGUGCAUAAUUAACUUUGUCAAAUAUUUGUUUUCACAUCUUCGUUUUCACAUCCUGCAUCAUAUGGUAUUAACCUUAUUUUAUCUGUGACCUAUAUCACCAGCAGGAGAAACGACCAUUAUGACAAACUUCCUUUUUACAACUUGUCUUUUCACCUGUAAUCAUCUAACAUCUAAAUAAAAAAAAAUAAAAAAAUAAAAAAAUGUAUUAGGAACAUGUUUUGACUGCGAUAGAGCAUCCAAAAUAAUAUGCAAGAUUCAACCAGCUUUCAGUGCUAGCCUGUUCAGGGACCACUCUCGGCACUGCUGCUGCAACACACUUUGGAAAGAGGAAGUGUUGAGGGCUUUUGAGCCAAAGGAAAAAAGAGUUAUUACUUCCCUGGAAGGGCCUUGCUAUCCGAGCAACAAAAGCUCUUAUUUUCCCACCACUGCUUGCGGACAAGCACCCAUUCUGUCACGGAACAGGCUGCCCUGAACAGAGUCCUGCCCUGUCCAAGCUCCACCUCGGGCUCGAUCCUCCUCACCUCGAUGGCACCGUGAGUGAGGCCUAGUAGAAGCAAACCGUCCCUCACGCACUUCCAUCAGGUAAAAAACCUACAGAUGCUGAUGCACAGGCACACAGCCAGCCAAACACCUGAAACGAUCCAGCACCAGGACUGCCAGGCUGCUGCUGCUCCUCUGAUCCCAGCAGAUGGAAACCAACUUCCAAAGGAAACCAGAGCCAGACCAUAGUGUACUGAACCUCCAAGGCAUGACAGCAUCCAGAAGCCCCAUGCAGAAGCUCUGCAGGUCACCAUUUAGACGAGUAGAAGAGGAAGACCUCUGCGCACACUGGCAUUACCAAAUGCAGAUGGUUCUCAGAUACCUGCUCCCCUACACAGCGGCUGUGGGUUGUAGAGGACAGCAGAAGCCUCCACGUUCCUUGCUCGAGUAAACGUGUGAACUCCAACGUAGAGUGAAGCAGAUUCCGAGAAUCAGUGGAUGGCCUGAUUAAAAAAAAAAUUAAUGAUGUAGCAUUAGUGAUGAGCUCUUGAUUAUCCUAAACAUCCUUCCCAGAGUAGGAUUGUAGCAUCUCCACUCCAAAAGUGGGAAAAAAAGGCUUGGAAACUAAGGUCCUUUUUUUUUUUUUCUUCUCCUGCUCUUCUCCCUUCCCAGCAAAGUGUUAGAAUAGAGCAGGACUCUUAUCAUUUUGGUGCAUAUCUAUGCAUUUUUGAAGAAGACUCUGAAUGGUCUGCAAGUCCCAUACCUCAGUGGGAUGGAAGAUGUCUACUUAAUGCACUGUCUGAUGGAGUAGACGCUUCCAAAGAAGGGGGAUUCUGGCCAUCAGAGAUGGCAGGGAAGUGUACCCAGAUAUGGUGGGAUAGAUGGCAGGUCAGCAACAAAAGGAGAGGGAGAGAGGCAUGGUAACUGAUGUCUGGUAUGGUCUUGGCAAUUUGCCCUCAUUCAGUCUGUAAUAUAACUACAGUAAUGAGAAGAUGGCUGCAUGAGAAAGGACUUUCUUUCUCAGAGAUGUGUCUCCUCACCCUUUCCCUGGGUUUUCCAAGCUACAGAAAACUAACUGAAAUGGUAUCUUUGUUGGCAACACAGGAUUUACAAUGUUACUGAUAGUACUGCAGAGACAAGGAUAUUUUGGGGCACAUUUUACUUUAAAUUUAAUUUCAUCAUGGUAAAGGCUACUAUCAAAAUUAACAGUACUGUGGAACCAGAUAUAAUGAUAAACUAGAAUGGCAAAUGUAAUUUUAAAAUAUAUUUGAAAAAUGAUAAUUCUCUCUUCAAAACAGACUGAACAGUCUGCAUGGUGUCAUGUAUAAGCAUUGGGAAGAGAAUCUGAAAUAUGGUUAUUUUUCAAUACCAUCCAUCCGGUGCUUAAGAAUGCCUGAAAUAAAUUUAUGUAUGAAGAAGAUGAAAACUUCACAUCUGUAUGCACAGAAGGUGGAAUGGGGAGAAAUCAGGACUAGAGUGUUCAAUUUUGAUUCAACAUGAUACAACUUACACACCUAGAAAUGCUAAGAGCAAGAGAAAGCAAAGCUAUGGACCAAAAAAACUACUGAAUGAAGAGGGAAUCAUAGAAUCAUUAAGGUUGGAAAAGACCGCCAAGAUAUAACCAUACCCCUACCACCAUUACCAAUGACAAUCAUGUCCCUAAGCACCAGGUCCAACCUUUUAAACACCCCCAGGGACGGUGACUCCCCACCUCCCUGGACAACCCAUUCCAAUACCAGACUACUCUUU